AGCGAACGCUGGCGGCAGGCCUAACACAUGCAAGUCGAACGAACCUUUCAGGGUUAGUGGCGGACGGGUGAGUAACACGUGGGAACGUGCCUUUAGGUUCGGAAUAACUCAGGGAAACUUGUGCUAAUACCGAAUGUGCCCUUCGGGGGAAAGAUUUAUCGCCUUUAGAGCGGCCCGCGUCUGAUUAGCUAGUUGGUUGAGGUAAUGGCUCACCAAGGCGACGAUCAGUAGCUGGUCUGAGAGGAUGAUCAGCCACAUUGGGACUGAGACACGGCCCAAACUCCUACGGGAGGCAGCAGUGGGGAAUCUUGCGCAAUGGGCGAAAGCCUGACGCAGCCAUGCCGCGUGAAUGAUGAAGGUCUUAGGAUUGUAAAAUUCUUUCACCGGGGACGAUAAUGACGGUACCCGGAGAAGAAGCCCCGGCUAACUUCGUG
RNAcentral lists this ribosomal RNA (434 nucleotides) under uncultured bacterium. Its description in RNAcentral is "partial 16S ribosomal RNA". It matches the Rfam family "Bacterial small subunit ribosomal RNA", at positions 29 to 507 of the family's 1533-position model. The record is from RNAcentral.